Orbicella faveolata is the source of this 540-nucleotide long non-coding RNA. RefSeq lists it as uncharacterized. NCBI's taxonomy places the organism in Eukaryota, Metazoa, Cnidaria, Anthozoa, Scleractinia, Merulinidae. The record is from RefSeq and is a predicted model, not a curated record.
UUCUAGGGACGAAUUUAAGACAGCGUCGACUCAAGAGUGGAGAAUUCGUUACAGAAAUCGACAGGAACGUGGAAUAGAAUCCCAGAAAACUUCUCAACCGCUUGGCAAUAAAUAUGAAGCGCACUGUUCUAUCCGUUCUCUUGUUGGUUUUCCUUUUCUCCACAACUUUCCUGCACAGUGCAGAGGGUAAUUAUCUGAGGUUUGGCCGAACGCUGAGCAAAAGAAAACUUAGAACUCGAAACAGGUUCCAGGUUGAAACAGAUGAUGCGCUUGCUUCCAACAAACGGCGGGGAACUGGUAAUGGACUGCGGGACGACGCUUACUUACCAACAUAUAACUGAUGACUGCUCAAGUAAAGUUUCUUGCAAAUGAAGUGGAUACCACGCAAUGUUUUAGCUUAACUUGUAAAGAGCGAAGAGCAUCAAUAAAUUGUCACAGAGUCCUUAGCUUCUAAAUAGCAUGAAAAGAAAUAAAUGCUUUUUUUGAUGGUAAAACUUGCUACAGUUUGAAUUUUCUUACCGGGUGUAACAAGGGAUUUAU